GAUCGUCCUACUGCUGCUCAGCUCUUAGACCAUUCAUUUGUAAGACGAUCACUUUCCACGUCAUUGUCAGGUUCUGCAUCACCUUAUAUUGGCCGAAAAUCUUGGAAGCUCUCACCUAUGACUACUGAUAAUUAGUUCUGUCCGCAGCAAAGCAUGCAAGACUCAUUUAUCAUGUUGCAUAGACAAGUGGGUCGACUUGUUCUUGGACGCUGUAUUUUGCAGCCAUUAAUUUUUGGUUGCAUAAAACUAAAAGCAUGCGAGCAUGGUUUAAAUUAAUGAAGAUCGAAAUGACGUGCAGGAUCUGGCCUUGUAACUUUACUAUGAUGAUAUCAGAUUUUUUAUUCAUGGGUUCUGCUCUGAAAAUUCAACUUUAUAGCUCUGGCGGUUCUUAAAGUAGCAUUUAGUUGUUUGUCUGUUGUAAGAAAUGGGGAGCAGACACCAUUGUGUGUAUAUAUCCCAUGAUUGUAGCAAAUGUCAGUGAUAAUUCAACUUUUAGUGUUUUUCUUUUUUUUUUUUUUUAAAGUUUUGUACUGCUAACGGCUUUUGUAAAAUAUGUUCCAUAUGAAUGCAUUGAUUCUAAAUUAUUU
Molecule: unclassified non-coding RNA, 587 nt
Filed under: Hevea brasiliensis (rubber tree)
Lineage: Eukaryota; Viridiplantae; Streptophyta; Magnoliopsida; Malpighiales; Euphorbiaceae
Source: RNAcentral